UACAGAGGGGGCAAGCGUUGUUCGGAAUUACUGGGCGUAAAGGGCGCGUAGGCGGCCUUCUAAGUCGAACGUGAAAUCCCCGGGCUCAACCCGGGAACUGCGUCCGAUACUGGAAGGCUUGAAUCCGGGAGAGGGAUGCGGAAUUCCAGGUGUAGCGGUGAAAUGCGUAGAUAUCGGAAGGAACGCCGGUGGCGAAAGGCGGCCGAU
Molecule: ribosomal RNA, 207 nt
Filed under: uncultured bacterium
Lineage: Bacteria
Description: partial 16S ribosomal RNA
Rfam family: Bacterial small subunit ribosomal RNA
Source: RNAcentral